UGAGGAAUAUUGGUCAAUGGGCGAGAGCCUGAACCAGCCAAGUAGCGUGCAGGAUGCCGGCCCUAUGGGUUGUAAACUGCUUUUAUGUGGGGAUAAAGUGCGUGACGUGUCAUGCAUUGCAGGUACCACAUGAAUAAGGACCGGCUAAUUCCGUGCCAGCAGCCGCGGUAAUACGGAAGGUCCGGGCGUUAUCCGGAUUUAUUGGGUUUAAAGGGAGCGUAGGCUGUCUAUUAAGCGUGUUGUGAAAUUUACCGGCUCAACCGGUGGCUUGCAGCGCGAACUGGUCGACUUGAGUAUGCAGGAAGUAGGCGGAAUUCAUGGUGUAGCGGUGAAAUGCUUAGAUAUCAUGACGAACUCCGAUUGCGCAGGCAGCUUACUGUAGCAUAACUGACGCUGAUGCUCGAAAGUGCGGGUAUCAAACAGG
RNAcentral lists this ribosomal RNA (424 nucleotides) under Fusobacteriota bacterium. RNAcentral's name for it is "Fusobacteria bacterium partial 16S ribosomal RNA". It matches the Rfam family "Bacterial small subunit ribosomal RNA", at positions 355 to 776 of the family's 1533-position model. The record is from RNAcentral. Lineage: Bacteria; Fusobacteriati; Fusobacteriota.